AUGGAUUUUCGGGAAGAGUCGUCUCCCGCUUUAGCCUUCGAGAAGGACGCCUUUCAGCUGACGGUAGAAGAUGUUUAUGACAUUUCUUACGUAAUCGGUCGAGAUUUGUUAAAAAUAAGCAGCACAGGACAGGAAGUGUCGGAUUUACAAUUCAGAAUCGUCCGUGUUUUGGAAAUGCUUGAAAGCCUGGUGAAUAAAUCCAACUUGUCGCUAGAGGAGUUGAAAAUGGAGCGGGACAACCUGAAGAGCGAAGUGGACAGAAUGCUGAGGUCGUGUCCGGAGGGCAUGCAAACGGCGGGACCGAACCAGCUCCUGGUGGACCUGACGGACCCAGACAGGCCACGUUUCACCAUGCAGGAGCUGAAGGAGGUGCUGCAGGAGCGGAACCAGCUGAAGGCUCAGCUCAUGGUGGCUCAGGAGGAGCUUCAGCUGUACAAGAGCGGGAUUCUGCCACAGGCCGAACCAGCACUGGUGGAAGUGGACCUAGAGUCCUCGUCUGCUGCCGACGACAGUGCUGCUGCGAUUAACGAUAAAAGAAACGAGAAAACCACCAUAAGCAAACUCACAUGAUGUAGAAAGCAGCCAAACUUAAUGGAACACUUGUGACCAGAUGAAGUCAUGCUGAGCCUGAGAGCACUGAACAGUGCAUUUGCCAGGAAGGAAUAAUUAGAGUCUGACAAUGACUAGCAAGGUUUUCAUUCAGGCGGAAAUAAAAGGUUUCACAAGACCUGAGCACGUACAAGACAAACAGGAUUUGUCUGCAUGAUUUCCUCUACUGUUAACAAUUUUCAUACAUUUGUCAAAUGAAGCACUAUAUUUUGUAAUUUUAAUGGAAACUGUAUAUUUUUUAACUCCAUUGAUUCACUGUAGUAUAUUGUACAACCUGUGAGAUUAAA
Thalassophryne amazonica is the source of this 896-nucleotide RNA transcript. It is a transcript of the gene named Rab interacting lysosomal protein-like 2, with no coding region annotated. NCBI's taxonomy places the organism in Eukaryota, Metazoa, Chordata, Actinopteri, Batrachoidiformes, Batrachoididae. The transcript is spliced from 5 exons. The record is from RefSeq and is a predicted model, not a curated record.